Molecule: long non-coding RNA, 1468 nt
Organism: Malus domestica (apple)
Lineage: Eukaryota; Viridiplantae; Streptophyta; Magnoliopsida; Rosales; Rosaceae
Source: RefSeq, a predicted model, not a curated record
AAAAAAAUAAUAUAAAAUGUUAACGUGACUUAACCGUGACCACACAAAGGAAGGCAUGAAAAACUCUGUUUCUGGAAAAAUGGAGGGUAAACAAUCCUUGUCCUCUAAAAAGUGGACUACCUAUAUUACCCUCAGUUAUUUUAGAAAAUGACGACAUAUAUCUUGUCUUUCUCCUUCCUCUCGUUCCGUCGUUCGUCUCUCCCAUCUUCUCCCGUCGGUCUCUCGCUCCAGUUGUCCUUGGGAGACAAGAUUUUCCAACAGCUUUUUCUGUAGUCGCUGGAGAAGCAAUAUUAGAAUUAUCAAAGUUUUUAAGUGAGACAUCCAUAUUCUAUUUAAGACUAACGUUGUGAGAAGUUUGAACGAUUUAAAUUCAUCUUCAAAAGCAAGGGUCCUUAGCGUCCAACAACAUGAGUAAAGCUGAAGCUUCGCUUUAUAUUGUGGUUAUUUUGGUCUUCUGAGAGUCACUGGUGUUUUGAGUGGUUUUUGAAAUAGAGGAAACCAUUCUCAACCACUGCAUUUUGUAAUUAUGAAGGUGGUCUUGGUGUCAAAGAACUUUAAAAUCACUAUGCUGUACAGUCAACAGUGAUUAAAACGGUACAUGAAUUGUUUGAACAACUGAAUACGUUUCUAACUUUCUGAGACAAAGAUGGAAGAAUUCUCCUUUUUUUAAUUCACUUACUUGAUAGAUCCUUUUUUCUGUUGACUUCGAAUGUACAUGAAUGAAAAAUCAUGGAUAUUAUAUAUGAUUAGCGGUACCAUUAAACUGGAAAUUCUCACUUUGUAGAGAAAAAUGGUCCUGAUAAAGUGAUGAUUUUGUUUGAGAUCUAUGCCGGCCUGCAGCGCUGUGUGAGUCUUCUAAUUUAAGAGAAGAACAAGAAAACCAAAACCAAUAAAAGGAAACGAAGGAUAAGAUUAUGCAUCUUUGUUUCAAAUUAGUUGGGUGAAUACCAGUAAAUUUAUUUGUUCUGUGCGUUCCAUACUUCAAUUCAGUCAUUACGAUAUUCUGUUAUAUAUCAGGUUUAUCACAGUUCAGUACUAGUCUAAGGGUAACCUCUAUCAAUUUCCUUUUGCUACUACAACAGACACACGCACACACACAUUGUAUGUCAUAUUUCCUGCCUAAAAAUUCCAAUGAAGUUACUGACUAUGCAAAUAAAUUGGCCAACAAAUAAAUUGCUUUAAUGUCAUUUUAUAUUGUACAUUAUCAUUUUAUUAUCUGAAUGAAUGCUUUGUUGGUCUAAGCCCCUUCCCACCAGUUGCAGUUGCCAGCUCUUUCCGAGUUAGUUAUUGCCACAAUUCCGUAUAAAUUAGUGUUGUCCUAGAUUAGCGGAUGUAUUGCAGCAAGAUAUGAUAUUAAUCUAUUGCAAGGUGACGGAGGCAAUAAGUUGAAGAUUGCAACUACAGGUUAAUUGUUCUUCUGGGUCCUUUUCUCCUUUUUAUUUCUCUAUGUUUUUUCUUUCAUCUGAAU